AAAUAAUUUAGCCCACGCACCUGCACAGAAAACCCACAUCAACGAGUUUGCUUCGGCAGUCAGGCUGGGGAACCAAAGGCUAAGCCUGAAAGCAAACGUGAAAUCAAAUACGAAAAUUGCACAGCAGCCCCGCAGGAGUCAGCUAUCCAGAGGCCCCGCUGAAACCCCAUCUGUCAGUCAAUUGAUCCAAUGCUGCGACACUCCCUGAGUCGUUACAUGAGGAUGUCAAGAGCUACUCAGAAGAUCUCAGGGCUUCUCCAGCCACCCUGCCCAAAAGGUCAUGAUGUUAUGCCACCCAUGAUCCCCAAGGCUGACGAGAAGAGCUGUGUUCAAGAAGAGGAACAUGCGGAGCACCAUGACUGAUGAAGGAGACACAGAUGUAAAAAUGGCAGCAGGGUAGAAAGCAAAGAUGGAAACGCUACAUUGUGAACUUCUGAGUGAGUAUUUGUGACUUGGGAUUUUGGAGGUUUUCACUCAUUGCAGAACCGGGCUGUUGA
RNAcentral lists this long non-coding RNA (497 nucleotides) under Mus spicilegus (steppe mouse). RNAcentral describes it as "lncRNA (ENSMSIG00000012260.1)". The record is from RNAcentral. Lineage: Eukaryota; Metazoa; Chordata; Mammalia; Rodentia; Muridae.